AUUGAACGCUGGCGGCAUGCCUUACACAUGCAAGUCGAACGGCAGCACGGGAGCAAUCCUGGUGGCGAGUGGCGAACGGGUGAGUAAUAUAUCGGAACGUGCCCAGUCGUGGGGGAUAACGCAGCGAAAGCUGUGCUAAUACCGCAUACGAUCUACGGAUGAAAGCGGGGGAUCGCAAGACCUCGCGCGAUUGGAGCGGCCGAUAUCAGAUUAGCUAGUUGGUGGGGUAAAGGCCCACCAAGGCGACGAUCUGUAGCUGGUCUGCGAGGACGACCAGCCACACUGGAACUGAGACACGGUCCAGACUCCUACGGGAGGCAGCAGUGGGGAAUUUUGGACAAUGGGCGCAAGCCUGAUCCGGCAAUGCCGCGUGCAGGAUGAAGGCCUUCGGGUUGUAAACUGCUUUUGUACGGAACGAAACGGCCCUUUCUAAUACAGGGGGCUAAUGACGGUACCGUAAGAAUAAGCACCGGCUAACUACGUGCCAGCCGCCGCCGUAA
This 500-nucleotide ribosomal RNA is filed under the name uncultured bacterium. RNAcentral's name for it is "partial 16S ribosomal RNA". It matches the Rfam family "Bacterial small subunit ribosomal RNA", at positions 30 to 523 of the family's 1533-position model. The record is from RNAcentral.